This 2155-nucleotide long non-coding RNA is filed under the name Manihot esculenta (cassava). RNAcentral describes it as "long non-coding RNA (MESC_LNC002697)". The record is from RNAcentral. Lineage: Eukaryota; Viridiplantae; Streptophyta; Magnoliopsida; Malpighiales; Euphorbiaceae.
UUUAUCCUAAAAUCUUUUUGUUAGUAACCCAAAAAGGGGCAGCUUCAUGUGUAUCCAUUAACAUCUUGACAACAAUACAACACCACAAAAUACAAUGCUUGCUGACAAUAUAGCCAUGGAACUUUAAAUUAUAUAAUAUUAAUAUUUAGACAUUUAUUACAUUUAAAAAUACCACAAAACAAAAACACCCUACAACAACAAGCCAAUGCCUUUGCACCAUGUGGAAGACAAUGAUAAACAGAAUAUUAUAUUAUUUAAACUGUAGAAAUAUAAUAUUUGAUAUUGUAUUUCGUAAUAAAGAUUACAACCUAUUUAUAUAUAAAAGACGGUAUCUAAACAGGAAGGAAAAUAAAAUUUAUGAUUAUACAAUCCCUAAGAUUAAGGGACUAACCCAUCUAUUAAUAUUUAUUUCCUAUAUUAAUAUAUUUACUUCCUAUAAUUUAUAACACUCCCCUCAAGUUGGAGCAUAAAUGUUAAUCAUGCUCAACUUGUUAUAUAUAUAAUCAACUCGUUCCAUGCAACUUAGCAGACACCGAAUUUGUAAACCCAACUUCUUCCAAUAAUUGACGUACCCACAAAACUUCACAAACGGUUUUUGCCAUGACUGGACAUUCAAAUUCAACACUAGAACGGGAGACCACAUUUUCUUAGCUUGGUAAAACGCUUUACACACAUCAUAAAUACGAGAAGUAUUCCCUUUGCUAGAAUAUAGAAAUUCCAAAUACUGCAUUAAUUCUUUAACAAAUUCAGAAUGAUUAAUAAAACUAAUCACUUUACUGUGAAUAGAAUUUCGAAUCCGUGAACAAUACUCGUGACUCUUGAACAGUACCUGAUGAACAGUACUCGUGAACAGUACUUGAUGAACAGAGCCCUAAGUCUCCAAAUGUUACCCUUUAUGGAUAACCCAAAUGAUCAGAGUCCUAAAUCUUUAAAUAUUACCCUUUAUGAGUAAUCCAAAUGAAUAGAGUCCUAAGUCUCCAAAUAUUACCCUUUAUGAGUAACCCAAAUGAACAGAGCCCUAAGUCUCCAAACGUUACCCUUUAUGAGUAACCCAAAUGAAUAGAGUCCUAAGUCUCCAAACGUUACUCUUUAUGAGUAACCCAAAUGAAUAGAACCCUAAGUCUCCAAACGUUACCCUUUAUGAGUAACCCAAAUGAACGGAGUCCUAAGUCUCCAAAUGUUACCUUUUAUGGGUAACCCAAAUAAACAGAGUCCUAAAUCUCCAAAAGUUACUCUUUAUGGAUAGCCCAAAUGAAUAGUAUCAAAAAGACGCAUCCACCUAACACCCAAACGGAAAACAAACCACAAAUCUGACAAAAGGGCUGCAAGACGACUUUGGCAUCCUCUUUAGGUGAACGGUGAGAGACAAAUAUUAUCCUAGAUGGAUAACACAAAAGAACAGGAGUCCUGAGUAUCCAAAAAGUUAAAACUUGACGAGAGAGAAAAAAAUCUCUACAAACCUUGCUCUGAUACCAUAUAGAAAUAUAAUAUUUGAUAUUGUAUUUCGUAAUAAAGAUUACAACCUAUUUAUAUAUAAAAGACGGUAUCUAAACAGGAAGGAAAAUAAAGUCUAUGAUUAUACAAUCCCUAAGAUUAAGGGACUAACCCAUCUAUCAAUAUUUAUUUCCUAUAUUAAUAUAUUUACUUCCUAUAAUCUAUAAUAUAAACAAAUUAUAAUUUCUUUUAUCAUUAUUAAUUACUUAGAAAAUAAGUAAAAUUUUUUUUAUUCAAUUCCGUUGGUUGACUUUUUCUUUCAACUAAUCUUUAGAAUUAAAAGGCUCAGUGGGCUAUAGUAUUAGAUGAACACAAAUAUGAAAUUAAAAAAUAAAUAUUGUCCAACCCUAAUUACCAUUAGAGGAAAGCCCAACUCAGAGAAGCAUAUGGACAACAAGCACCGCCUGUGACUGCCCAUAAACACUGCUAGCAAGAAAUAAUUGUGUCGAAGCCGAAGAUUCAGCAGCGCCAAUGGUAAAGGAAACCCAUGUAUCUCCAAAAAAAAAUCAGAACAGUGAGAAUCAUGAACAACACAAAUGUUACAAAGACAAUCAUGAACAACGUUUUUGUUCCUUUAUUUAUAUUAUCUCUCUAAUUUACCCAGAAAAAUUAGGUGUAGUUUGGACAAAAACAAAGUCACCACGUUGAUGCCUAAUUUGGG